CUACGUGCCAGCAGCCGCGGUAAUACGUAGGAUGCAAGCGUUAUCCGGAAUUAUUGGGUUUAAAGCGCGCGCAGGCGGCUUCCCAAGUCACCCUUAAAAGUGCGGGGCUUAACCCCGUGAUGCCAAGGAUACUGGGAAGCUGGAGUAUCGGAGAGGAAGGCGGAAUGCGUAGUGUAGCGGUGGAAUGCAUAGAGAUUAGGCAGAACUCCGGUGGCGAAGGCAGCUUUCUGGACGAAAACUGACGCUGAGGCGCGAAAGCGUGGGGAGCAAACAGGAUUAGAUACCCUGGUAGUCCACGCAGUAAACGAUGAGAACUGGGUGUAUGCCCUUUCCGGGGCUUAGUGCCGAAGCGAAAGCGUUAAGCUAUCCACCUGGGGAGUACGCCGGCAAGGUUGAAACUCAAAGGAAUUGACGGGGGCCCGCACAAGCGGAGGAACAUGUGGUUUAAUUCGAAGCAACGCGAAGAACCUUACCCGGGCUUAACAUCCCUCUGACCGCUCUAGAGAUAGAGUUUUC
Molecule: ribosomal RNA, 516 nt
Filed under: uncultured bacterium
Lineage: Bacteria
Description: bacterial SSU rRNA
Rfam family: Bacterial small subunit ribosomal RNA
Source: RNAcentral